AUUGAACGCUGGCGGCAUGCUUUACACAUGCAAGUCGAACGGCAGCGCGGGCUUCGGCCUGGCGGCGAGUGGCGAACGGGUGAGUAAUACAUCGGAACGUGCCCAGUAGUGGGGGAUAGCUCGGCGAAAGCCGGAUUAAUACCGCAUACGACCUGAGGGUGAAAGCGGGGGAUCUUCGGACCUCGCGCUAUUGGAGCGGCCGAUGGCAGAUUAGCUAGUUGGUGGGGUAAAGGCCUACCAUGGCGACGAUCUGUAGCUGGUCUGAGAGGACGACCAGCCACACUGGGACUGAGACACGGCCCAGACUCCUACGGGAGGCAGCAGUGGGGAAUUUUGGACAAUGGGCGAAAGCCUGAUCCAGCAACGCCGCGUGUGUGAUGAAGGCCUUCGGGUUGUAAAGCACUUUUGGCGGGAACGAAAAGGACUGUGCCAAUACCACGGUUCGAUGACGGUACCCGCAGAAUAAGCACCGGCUAACUACGUG
Molecule: ribosomal RNA, 484 nt
Filed under: uncultured bacterium
Lineage: Bacteria
Description: partial 16S ribosomal RNA
Rfam family: Bacterial small subunit ribosomal RNA
Source: RNAcentral